RNAcentral lists this ribosomal RNA (253 nucleotides) under uncultured bacterium. Its description in RNAcentral is "partial 16S ribosomal RNA". It matches the Rfam family "Bacterial small subunit ribosomal RNA", at positions 524 to 776 of the family's 1533-position model. The record is from RNAcentral.
UACGGGGGGAGCAAGCGUUGUUCGGAUUUACUGGGCGUAAAGGGCUCGUAGGUGGCCAACUAAGUCAGACGUGAAAUCCCUCAGCUUAACUGGGGAACUGCGUCUGAUACUGGAUGGCUUGAGAUUGGGAGAGGGAUGCGGAAUUCCAGGUGUAGCGGUGAAAUGCGUAGAUAUCUGGAGGAACACCGGUGGCGAAGGCGGCAUCCUGGACCAACACUGACACUGAGGAGCGAAAGCCAGGGGAGCAAACGGG